GCACUUCACGUGUGCCGAAUACAUUAAAAACAAUAGACAAUGAGGCAUUUCAGUCAUUAUCUAUUGUCUUUAAUGUAUUUGGCACAUGUGAAGC
This 94-nucleotide microRNA precursor is filed under the name Paramuricea clavata. Lineage: Eukaryota; Metazoa; Cnidaria; Anthozoa; Malacalcyonacea; Plexauridae. The record is from RNAcentral.